UACAGAGGGGGCAAGCGUUGUUCGGAAUUACUGGGCGUAAAGGGCGCGUAGGCGGCCUUCUAAGUCGAACGUGAAAUCCCCGGGCUCAACCCGGGAACUGCGUCCGAGACUGAAAGGCUUGAAUCCGGGAGAGGGAUGUGGAAUUCCAGGUGUAGCGGUGAAAUGCGUAGAUAUCAGGAAGAACACCAAUGGCGAAGGCAGCUCGCUGGGACGUUACUGACGCUGAGACGCGAAAGCGUGGGGAGCAAACAGG
RNAcentral lists this ribosomal RNA (253 nucleotides) under uncultured bacterium. Its description in RNAcentral is "partial 16S ribosomal RNA". It matches the Rfam family "Bacterial small subunit ribosomal RNA", at positions 524 to 776 of the family's 1533-position model. The record is from RNAcentral.